Non-coding RNA from Acanthosepion pharaonis, 114 nucleotides. The record is from the annotation of a GenBank genome assembly. Lineage: Eukaryota; Metazoa; Mollusca; Cephalopoda; Sepiida; Sepiidae.
UUACGGCUAUAUCACCAUGAAACAUUGGUUCCGGUACGAUCACCGAAGUUAAGCAAUGUGAAUCCUGGUUAGCACCUAGAUGUGUAACCGCUUGAGAAUACCAGGGGUUGUAGU